AUUGAACGCUGGCGGCAGGCCUAACACAUGCAAGUCGAACGGUAACAGGAAGAAGCUUGCUCCUUUGCUGACGAGUGGCGGACGGGUGAGUAAUGUCCGGGAAACUGCCUGAUGGAGGGGGAUGACUACUGGAAACGGUAGCUAAUACCGCAUAACGUCGCAAGACCAAAGAGGAGGACCUUCGGGCCUCUUGCCAUUGGAUGUGCCCAGGUGGGAUUUGCUAGUAGGUGGGGUACCGGCUCACCUAGGCCACGAUCCCUAGCUGGUCUGAGAGGAGGGCCAGCCACACUGGAACUGAGACACGGUCCAGACUCCUACGGGAGGCAGCGGUGGGGAAUGUUGCACUAUGGGCGCAAGCCUGAUGCAACCCUGCCGCGUGUAUGGAGAGAGCCUUCGCGUUGUAAAGUACUUUCAGCGGGGAGAAAGAGAGUAGAGUUAAUACCUUUGCUCAUUGACGUUACCCUAAGAAGAAGCACCGGCUAACUCCGUG
Molecule: ribosomal RNA, 490 nt
Filed under: uncultured bacterium
Lineage: Bacteria
Description: partial 16S ribosomal RNA
Rfam family: Bacterial small subunit ribosomal RNA
Source: RNAcentral